RNAcentral lists this ribosomal RNA (830 nucleotides) under Janthinobacterium sp. Its description in RNAcentral is "bacterial SSU rRNA". It matches the Rfam family "Bacterial small subunit ribosomal RNA", at positions 66 to 893 of the family's 1533-position model. The record is from RNAcentral. Lineage: Bacteria; Pseudomonadati; Pseudomonadota; Betaproteobacteria; Burkholderiales; Oxalobacteraceae.
ACGGCAGCACGGAGCUUGCUCUGGUGGCGAGUGGCGAACGGGUGAGUAAUAUAUCGGAACGUACCCUAGAGUGGGGGAUAACGUAGCGAAAGUUACGCUAAUACCGCAUACGAUCUAAGGAUGAAAGUGGGGGAUCGCAAGACCUCAUGCUCGUGGAGCGGCCGAUAUCUGAUUAGCUAGUUGGUAGGGUAAAAGCCUACCAAGGCAUCGAUCAGUAGCUGGUCUGAGAGGACGACCAGCCACACUGGAACUGAGACACGGUCCAGACUCCUACGGGAGGCAGCAGUGGGGAAUUUUGGACAAUGGGCGAAAGCCUGAUCCAGCAAUGCCGCGUGAGUGAAGAAGGCCUUCGGGUUGUAAAGCUCUUUUGUCAGGGAAGAAACGGUGAGAGCUAAUAUCUCUUGCUAAUGACGGUACCUGAAGAAUAAGCACCGGCUAACUACGUGCCAGCAGCCGCGGUAAUACGUAGGGUGCAAGCGUUAAUCGGAAUUACUGGGCGUAAAGCGUGCGCAGGCGGUUUUGUAAGUCUGAUGUGAAAUCCCCGGGCUCAACCUGGGAAUUGCAUUGGAGACUGCAAGGCUAGAAUCUGGCAGAGGGGGGUAGAAUUCCACGUGUAGCAGUGAAAUGCGUAGAUAUGUGGAGGAACACCGAUGGCGAAGGCAGCCCCCUGNGUCAAGAUUGACGCUCAUGCACGAAAGCGUGGGGAGCAAACAGGAUUAGAUACCCUGGUAGUCCACGCCCUAAACGAUGUCUACUAGUUGUCGGGUCUUAAUUGACUUGGUAACGCAGCUAACGCGUGAAGUAGACCGCCUGGGAGUACGGUCGCAAGA